RNAcentral lists this ribosomal RNA (428 nucleotides) under uncultured bacterium. RNAcentral's name for it is "bacterial LSU rRNA". It matches the Rfam family "Bacterial large subunit ribosomal RNA", at positions 990 to 1419 of the family's 2925-position model. The record is from RNAcentral.
AGCGGGAGAUAAGUUCCGUUGCCGAGAGGAAAGAGCCCAGAUCGUCGGCUAAGGUCCCAAAGUCUGAGCUAAGUGUGAAAGGAUGUGGAAACGCACUGACAACCAGGAGGUUGGCUUAGAAGCAGCCAUCCUUUAAAGAAAGCGUAAUAGCUCACUGGUCAAGCGAGUCUGCGCCGAAAAUACAACGGGGCUAAAGCUCAGCACCGAAGCUGCGGGCUUCUGAAAAGAAGCGGUAGGGGAGCAUUCUCACGGAGAUACACGCCAGACGGAAACGACUGGUAGCGGCUGUGAGAAGAGCUUAUGCAGGCAUGAGUAGCGAUAAACCGAGUGAGAAACUUCGGUCGCCGUAAGCCCAAGGUUUCCUGGGGAAGGAUAAUCCUCCCAUGGGUUAGUCGGUACCUAAGCCGAGGCCGUAAGGCGUAGGUGAU